GCUCACUUCAGUAGCACACGGAUGAAAACUAAAGAGAUGAUUAGCAUGGCCCUGUACAAAGAUGACAAGCAAAUUUGUGAAGCAUCCAUAUCUUUU
Molecule: small nuclear RNA, 96 nt
Filed under: Suricata suricatta (meerkat)
Lineage: Eukaryota; Metazoa; Chordata; Mammalia; Carnivora; Herpestidae
Source: RNAcentral